CAGUAGCCACGGGAACACGAAGGUCCCGAGCGUUGUUCGGAAUCACUGGGCGUAAAGGGAGCGUAGGCGGCGUGGUAAGUCAGAUGUGAAAUCCCGGGGCUCAACCCCGGAACUGCAUCCGAUACUGCCAUGCUAGAGGAUUGGAGAGGUAGCUGGAAUUCUUGGUGUAGCAGUGAAAUGCGUGGAGAUCAAGAGGAGCACUCGUGCGAAAGCGAGCUACUGGACAAUAUCUGACGCUGAGGCUCGAAGGCCAGGGUAGCGAAAGGGAUUAGAUACCCCCGUAGUCCCUGUCUCUUAUACA
RNAcentral lists this ribosomal RNA (301 nucleotides) under uncultured bacterium. Its description in RNAcentral is "partial 16S ribosomal RNA". It matches the Rfam family "Bacterial small subunit ribosomal RNA", at positions 509 to 809 of the family's 1533-position model. The record is from RNAcentral.